RNAcentral lists this ribosomal RNA (546 nucleotides) under uncultured Funneliformis. RNAcentral describes it as "SSU rRNA". It matches the Rfam family "Eukaryotic small subunit ribosomal RNA", at positions 548 to 1098 of the family's 1831-position model. Lineage: Eukaryota; Fungi; Glomeromycota; Glomeromycetes; Glomerales; Glomeraceae. The record is from RNAcentral.
UUGGAGGGCAAGUCUGGUGCCAGCAGCCGCGGUAAUUCCAGCUCCAAUAGCGUAUAUUAAAGUUGUUGCAGUUAAAAAGCCCGUAGUUGAAUUUCGGGAUCAGUAUGUUGGUCGUGCUUCGGUACGUACUGUCAUUACUGGUUUCUCCCUUCUGAAGAACCUUGAUGUCAUUAAUUUGGUGUCUUGGGGAAUCAGGACUGUUACUUUGAAAAAAUUAGAGUGUUUAAAGCAGGCAUACGCUUGAAUACAUUAGCAUGGAAUAAUGAAAUAGGACGUUUGAUUCUAUUUUGUUGGCUUCUAGGAUCGACGUAAUGAUUAAUAGGGAUAGUUGGGGGCAUUAGUAUUCAAUUGUCAGAGGUGAAAUUCUUGGAUUUAUUGAAGACUAACUACUGCGAAAGCAUUUGCCAAGGAUGUUUUCAUUAAUCAAGAACGAAAGUUAGGGGAUCGAAGACGAUCAGAUACCGUCGUAGUCUUAACCAUAAACUAUGCCGACUAGGGAUCGGAUGAUGUUAUUUUUAAUGACUCAUUCGGCGCCUUACGGGAAAC